This 372-nucleotide ribosomal RNA is filed under the name uncultured bacterium. RNAcentral's name for it is "bacterial SSU rRNA". It matches the Rfam family "Bacterial small subunit ribosomal RNA", at positions 975 to 1347 of the family's 1533-position model. The record is from RNAcentral.
CUACCCUUGACAUGUCUGGAACCCCGCAGAGAUGUGGGAGUGCCCGAAAGGGAGCCAGAACACAGGUGCUGCAUGGCUGUCGUCAGCUCGUGUCGUGAGAUGUUGGGUUAAGUCCCGCAACGAGCGCAACCCUUGUCAUUAGUUGCUACAUUUAGUUGGGCACUCUAAUGAGACUGCCGGUGACAAACCGGAGGAAGGUGGGGAUGACGUCAAGUCCUCAUGGCCCUUAUGGGUAGGGCUACACACGUCAUACAAUGGCUGGUACAGAGAGCUGCCAACCCGCGAGGGGGAGCUAAUCCCAUAAAACCAGUCGUAGUCCGGAUCGCAGUCUGCAACUCGACUGCGUGAAGUCGGAAUCGCUAGUAAUCGCGG